UAGGUUUUAAGUUGAUACCUAUUUUGGACACUUUUGACUUGGUUGAGGGAUAAUUGCCUGCUGCUUGCAUAUAGGAAUCCCGGUAUGCCUCAACGGUAGUUUUGUCUUAUUUUGUUAAAAUCCACGUGUCUCCUUGUGAUUAUUUUUGGCUCUACAAAUGCCCCCACACCUGUUGGGCUACUUGUAGGAAAAGGCAACAGGUGUAGAGAUUUUCUUGCUUUAGGAAACUUAAGACUGCUUCCUAUUUUGAUGUUGAUUCUCUCUUUAAAUGGAAAUUAGAUUCUUCUAGGAAAGGGAAAUAAAAUUCUCUCAAAGCCUAUUUAAGUCCACCUUAAGUGGGUUAUUAAAUCAACUUUGGAGAGCGAUUUAUUCUACCCAACAAGAGAGAGAAAGUUAGAGGAUAUGUGUUCCCCCUCCUCUAGCAAUCUUCUACAUCUUGCCCGUGCAAAGGAUCGUCUUUUGUUGAUUUCUUCGUCUUCUCUGUGCCACACCGAUGUAAGAAAAAUUUAAUUUUUCUUGCCUUCUUCUUGGAUAAUGCUAUUGCAAGGCAACCGUCGGGGUGGUGCGGCACGUCGGCUGGCAGGGGCCAGGAGUUGGCUCGGCAUGGGCCGAGGAGAUGUCAUGGUAGGGACUACUACUUGGGCAGCUUGGCUUGGGUUGAGCCAAGGGCAGCUUGUGCCGCUGGGGUCGCAGAUUGUGGCGUUGGGGCGCAGUGCUAGGCGAGUCGUAUGGCUCAUGUCCUUUGGGCUCUUGGACCUGACUCGGACCAGGCUGGCGAUUGAAAGAAAUGAGGAGAUUGUGGGUCUCAUGGGCUACUGGAAUGUUGGGUUGAACUCCCCUGCUGGGUACCACGAAUGGCGUUGGCUACUUUAACUCUCUUCGUCAGGAGAAACGUGGGCUGCUCCCAAAAUAAGAGGUGAAUAGGAUCAAGGCGGACGCAUUGGUUCGUCCAAUCACCGUUGUGGAUCCUGCUGCAAGUGAAGGUGGGAAAAGGGAUCUUCCCUGCCUACUCAAGAGAUGCCGGCUGAGCAAAAACCAAAGACUUCUUUCGCUACUUAUGCAAAGGAUGAAAAGUUGAUUGCUGCUUAUAAUCAAGUGAUCCACUUCUAGAGAAUCAUUGAUAAGUUUGAACCCCAAGUGUUGGAACUUCAAAGUGUACUAAAGAUCAACGAAAGUUUGAAAAAAGAAGUGGAUGAGCUGCAGCACGUCCAUGUUGGUAUUGGUGAAGUAGUUGGAGAAGUUGGUGCCCAGGCUAGAGUAGUCGGGGGUGAUGCUGCUGCUAAGAGCUUCCCGGCUGCUGAAGGUAUGGCGACCGAAUGGUCGUGGGAUGUCCAGGCUGCUAAAGUGUAGUCAUUUAGGUAGCCUUUAAGAUUUUCUUUGUUUUUCCUUGUAGCUCUUGUUUUGCUUGAACUUAUUCGGCCUUUGCUAGUUGUUUAUAAACAUGUUUUCCUUAGCUUUUCUUCAUUUUUGCUUCUUUUGUUCAUGCCCUAACCUUUAGACUUGAUAGACCAGUGGCAAGCAUGCUACUUUUUUAUAAGCAGACAAGCUCGCGUAUCAUAUGCAGCCGUAGGUGUUAGUGUAGAACUUUGCAAAGUUGUUAGCCAUUAGGUUGGCAGCCGGAUGCCUUAUUUACAGAAGCAGACAAGUCCGCGUAACCAUUAGGAUGUUAACCUUGACUUUCUCCAAUUCUGUAGGUUGCGUAGCAAGUACCACAACACUUUAGGACUUGGUGUAGGUUGUUCCACACUUGGCAGAGGUGAAGCUUAUCGACCACGUAGCAUGUUGGCAGUGGAUAAAACUUCGUAUAUACGUGCUAACUUGUUUAACCUUUCAUAAGAAUGUGCGGUUGUAUAAGUCUAGUGCGGCUUUACUGCUCGAGGGGCAAGCCGUAGGCAGUCUUCCGGAAUCCGUAGGCUACCUUAGUGCACUCGGUAACAGCUUUAGGAUUCCAGGGCAGCCGUCCAUCAGAUGUACUGCGUAAUGUGCCCUCUCCGUCUCUAGGGCCCUGUUCCCCACGGAUUAGGCUAAGAGACCAAAAAUCUUUCAGUUAGCUAAGCCUUGAAAAAGACCAUUGCGACUACUUCUAGGAAUCCCGGCGCAAGCCAUCAUGCAUCUAGUUAUACUAGGGCAGCCCGGCUCAUCCACGUCUGGAUAUUCGGAGUGUAGAGUUUAUCCUCCCGUUCUUGGAGAGCUGACCCAUGUGGGUGUCGGGGAAUUGGUUUACCCUCUCGCAUUGGAGAGCAAUUAGUUUACCCUAUCGCACUGGUAAGCAUGGUUGGUCCCUCGGGGGGCGCAAUUCCUGCGGUAAGUCCCUAAGAAGGGUGCGGUCUUCUUUUGAAGUGCAGGAGUGAUCAGUUGUUGUAAGCAUGCAGCCAAGCCAAGUCAUGAUUACUUCUAAAUUCUUCAUUGAAAAAUGAGUUAAACGAACGAGAACUUAGAUGUAAGGUAAGAACUACAUAACAACUGGAUAAUCCUUGGCUGGUGAGGUAGUGCCCGUCGAGCUGCUUGAGUCUUCGGGCUUUGAUGUAGCAAGAGGUCACACAUGGUACUUCCUCAGAUUGUAGGCGUUCAACUGUUUUUCGAUCUUUUUGUCGUUUUAUGGUGACGAGGGUGUAAUUGUUCUUGCCACCUACUCUGCUGAUCUUGUACGGACUUUCCCAAAUGGGAUCCAUAUUUUUGGAGCCUUUUCUGCUAGCAGUGAUGAAGGUUUUUCUUAUGACCAGAUCUCCAGGCUGGAACUGCCAGAUCUUGGCCCUUUUGUUGUAGCUGGAGAGGAGAUGAUACUGGUAGGCUGCGAUACGAGUAAUAGUCUGUUCGCACCUCUCUUCUGCCAGAUCUAAGCUUAUGGCCAUCUCCUUUCGGUUGCUUGUCUUUUGGUUGUGCGAUAUGCCCAUAGACAUCCUUGGAGUUCAUUUGGCCAUUUUCUUUUCUUAUUGGUGAAGUAGUCGGUUGCCACGAUCACCAUGCCUUUGCCCCUAGUAGUCUGGCUGGUGAUUAGCUAGGACUCAGAAUGAAUUGAAAGCUUUUUCACCACCAAGUCUUUUGUCAUUCGAAGGCCUGCUAGUGGGGCUUCGUACUCUACUUCGUUGUUAGAUGCUUUGAAGCUUAGAGUGAUCGCCUGCUUGAGCAUUGAAACGUCUGGGGUGGCAAGAACCACGGCUGCUCAUGAGCCUUCGUAGUUGGAUGCGUCGUCGACAUGCAAACGCCAGAAAUCUCCACUGAGGGAGCAGGUGUGGCUAAAGUGUGCUUGGCUGCCUUCGGGGCAUCGUUGGGUAGACUUGUUACGUUCGUCAAAAAACUUGCAUCUGCCAGGGUCUACGCCUUUAUCGUCGUUGGUUUGGAUUCGGCAGAAUAAUGCGUCAUGAUGAUGACUGCUUGCGUUUGAAGGUAAAACUUAAACUUUUGGUUACAACAAUUAUCGCCAAAGUUAGUUUUUGAAUUUUUAAUAGCAUCGAGGAGAACUUUUGAACUGUAGAAUACAGGUAGUCUGGCCCCCAACUCUUCUCGCAUGAUGGUAGAGCUUAUUGCUACUUUAGAUACCGUCAAACAUGCGAAUAAGUCCUCCGCUGCUUCUAGGGAGGUGAUGUUGGGUACUUCUUCAAGUCCUUGAAUGUGCAUUGGUGAGCCUCAUCCCGAAGUGCAUGCUUAUUUGCCAAAGCAAAAGAGUCUACCAGAGUUAGAUCUUCUUUCAUGAUCAAUUUUCCGAAUGGAGGGUGGUCUGCUGGAAGUCCUUUUUAGAAGGCUGCUCUAGCUAUCGAGUCGUUGCAUCCGACUAUUUUUACCUUCUCUACUUUGAACUUCCUCACAUAGUCGUGAAGCGACUCCUUUGGGUUCUUCUUGACGUCGAACAAAUGGUCAGACUUCUUUUUGAUCGAGCGAUAGGAUGAAUAUUCUUUGGUGAAAACCAAAGAAAGUUCGUAGAAAUUUUGGAUGGAUUGUGGCGGUAGGGUGUAGAACCAAUCUUGCGCCUCGUCUUGUAGAGUGGUGGCGAAUAUCUUGCACAUGAGAUCAUCGUUGUUUCAAUAAAGGAUCAUUGAGCUUUGGUAGCGCUUUAGGUGUCUCUCCGGAUCUUCAUCCCCUUUGAAAGAUGUGAAAUGUGGCAUGCUGAACUCGCGUGGAGGCUCUGCCUACUCGAUCUAGUCCGUGAAGGGUGACCUGCCUAUGUUGGUCAUGUUCCGUCGUAGUGCCUCGUCGGUGACCUCGUUGCGUUGGAAAUCAUGCAAUCGCUUGGUCAGAAGUCUCUCUACUUCUUCCUUAAUUUGCCUUUAUUGGGGUAGCGGAGCUCUCGGCUGCCCCUAACCAUGACUUGCUGGUCUAGGCUGCUUUUUCAUGUGUUUGGCUCGUCUAUGUCGCGGAUGUAAUGCAUGUGGUGCGUUCCUAGCAGGCGAACGAGUUCUUCGCAGGCUGCUGGUUGAACUUGAGUUGGAUUAAGUGACUGCCUACUCCGAUGUGAGGUGGAUGAUGCUCCUUGCGGGCUUAGCCACAAAUGAAAACUUCGCCUAGAAGGCUGCUCAUGUUGACUAUCGAAGUGCGACCCUAACCGUGAAUGUAUGCUCGUCUGUGGGCCUAGUCGAGAGUGCACGCUCGUCCACGCUCUAAGACAGGAGUAUACGCUAUCACGGGGGCCCAAUCGGUAGUGUAUACUGCCUAAACGCUCCAUUUGUGGCUGGUUGAGUGGCUGCUUACCAGGACGCUGCUGGAGAAGUUCUUUUUCUGGCCUUGUCCUACUUCGGAACACCUCGUCUGGGGCACGUUGCAUCUCGGUGCGUUGCAAGAGUCGGUUCACCAAGGUCGUCUACUGUGCGAGGACGCUUGUCAACUCUAUGACUUGUAGUGACAAGUGUUGUUCUCCAUUUGGGUUGGAAGAGCUUGGAAGGAAUGUGCCUCCUUGGGCAAUGGAAGAGUGGUAGACUCCGGGCACGAGAUUUGAGUUGGGAAAUGUCAAAUUCGUGAAAAAAUAUGGUGAGAAUGCCCCCGGCUCGAUGGUAGGUCUGGAUGGUUGAGAUAGUCUUGGGCCAACUUGGGCUGCUUGGAAAACCACUAGAGCAGGAUGGGCCGUGAGAGUGGGCUGCUCGACGGAAGCAGGCUGGACCGCGGGAGUGCGCUGCUCGUCGGGAGCAGGCUGGGUCACGAGAGCAGGCUGGGCCACGGGAAUGGGCUGCUCGACGGAAGUAGGCUGGGCCACGGGAGUGGGCUGCUCGACGGAAACAGGCUGGACUACAAGAGUGGGCUGCUCGUCGGGAGCAGGUUAGGUCACGAGAGCAAGCUGCUUAGUAGGAUCAGGCUGGGCCACGGGAGUGGGCUGCUCGACGGAAGCAGGCUGGGCCACGGGAGUAGGCUGCUCGACGGAAACAGGCUGGACCACGGGAGUGAGCUGCUCGUCGGGAGUAGGUUGGGUCACGAGAGCAGGCUGCUUGGUAGGAGCAGGCUGGGCCCCGGGAGUGGGCUGCUUGACGGAAGCAGGCUGGGCCACGGGAGUGGGCUACUCAACGGAGGCAGGCUGGACCACAGGAGUGGGCUGCUCGUCGGGAGCAGGUUGGGUCACGAGAGCAGGCUGCUUGGCAGGAGCAGGCUGGGCCUCGGGAGUGGGCAGCUCGAUGGAAGCAGGCUGGACUACGGGAGUGGGCUGCUCGUCGGGAGCAGGCUGGGUCACGAGAGCAGGCUGCUUGGCAGGAGCAGGCUGGGCCACGAGAGCAGGUUGCUUGGCGGGAGCAGGCUGGGUCACGAGAGCAGGCUGCUUGGCAGGAGCAGGCUGGGCCGCGAGAGCAGGUUGCUUGGCGGGAGCAGGCUGGGCCGCGAGAGCAGGUUGCUUGGCAGGAACAGGUUGCUUUGUAUGUGAUGCAUGCGAAUGCGAGGCUUGGGCCUGGGCCCAUGCAAACUUGGAUGGCACAACUUGGGCCGUGGCCUUGAUGUCGUAAGCCUUGGAUGACACUGCUCGAGCCGUGGUGAAGGCACCAUGGACCUCGCCACGGGUGGCUACCGAGGUAGCCACCGUGGUGGUUCCCAUGGUGGAAACUCGUGGUGAUGGUGCUGCUCCACUUAUUGUCGCAUUUAGCCUCACUGAUCUCCGCAAUCCCAUUUCUUGAACAUUAGAAUUUUCACUUGUGGAAUUUUCUAAAUUUCUUGCCAUUAUAUUUUGCUUAUACGUUUUAUCAAAGAACCUUUGCAAGUAAAAAAUUCUAAUAAUAAGAAUGUAUGAAAAAUAUUCAAAUGGACUAGAAAAUAAAGAAAAAACCUUUUUGUGCGAGAGUCUUCUACGAGUAUGGAUUUCAACUCUCAAUGAAAGCACCAAUUUGUGGAUGCAAAUUUCCGCCUUCUUCUUCUUGGACAAAAUUGCACCUACAAAAUAAUUAACACCUUAGGUCAAGGCCAAGAGCCUCACGCGCCCACAAUGAAUGGGGGGGGCUUUGGCCGAAGAACCUCCGAUGCCAAAUUUAGAAUUUAGAGAGAGAGUGUUUAGAGAAUUUUGGGAUUUUGGGAUUUUUUGGCAAAGUGUUGGAAUUGGCUUUUUUGGUGAGAAUGAGAGUAUAUUUAUAGGGAUAGGAGGUGGCUUGGGUUUUUUUUGGUUUAAUUUAGGUUUAAUUAGAAGUUACAAAAUUGAUUAUUUGUAUAAAUGGGGUAAUAAAAUGGAGAAAAUAGUGGAAAAGGUGGAGAAUAAGAUGGUUUACUUUUCUUGAUGGGAUUGGCCGGCCACUUUAGUAAUUUUAGGUUUGGAUGGGUGUUUCAAUUGAUAAUUAAGGGUUGGAUUAGGUAAUUAAUCCCUUAAUUAGUCAAUUAUUAUGAUUUUAGGAAAUAUGAAAGGAAUAAGUAUAUUAUUUCGCUAAUUGAUUAGCUAAAUAAUGAAAUGGGAAAUAUAUGAAUAAAUUAGGUUUUAAGUUGAUACCUAUUUUGGGCACUUUUGACUUGGUUGAGGGAUAAUUGCAUGCUGCUUGCGCGUAGGAAUCCCGAUAUGCCUCAAGGGUAGUUUUGUCUUAUUUUGUUAAAAAUCCACGUGUCGCCUUGUGAUUAUUUUUGGCUCCACAACUAUGCUACAAACAUGAAGAGGGAUCUCAACCAGCUGUAGGAAUCUGAUGGUCAGAUUUUAUUUGAUCAUCAGAGGUUUGUGGGUUUCUUCCAAUGGCAUUUAUUACUUUCGUCUUUUGGGGCUGUACCGCGUAAUGAAGCUCCAAAUGAUCAACCUUCGGUGCCUCCUCCUUCUGGGGUUCUGCCUAGUACUGAGGCUCUGAAUAAUCACCCUCUGGUGCCUCCUCUUUCUGGGGCUCUGCCGACUGCUGAGACUUCUCCUGAGCAACCUUUGUGAAGGCUCCCUCUUGUUUGUUUAUUUUGAUUCAUGUACAUGUACAUAUUUGUAACUUAUCGGAGAUAUCAAUAAACAAGCUUUGCUUCAUUUCAACGUAUUGUGUUAAAUACACCAAGGCCUUCUUCACUAAGUUCUUUGAAUUUUUCCUUUUGUUGAAGCUUGUAAGCUUUGUGAGUGAAGCAUGUAGGUUGAGGUAGUGCUCCCUUAAUUUCCCGAGUGAGGAAAACUUCUUGUUUGGAGACUUGAAAAAUCCAAGUCACUGAGUAGUCGUGAGACUUUUGAGUAUAAAAGUGCAGUAGCAUAUGGUAGGAGUCCCCCAAGUCUCCGGUCGAGGGAGUUGACGAAUGAGG
Molecule: long non-coding RNA, 7650 nt
Filed under: Malus domestica (apple)
Lineage: Eukaryota; Viridiplantae; Streptophyta; Magnoliopsida; Rosales; Rosaceae
Description: long non-coding RNA (MDOM_LNC012548)
Source: RNAcentral